AGUGGCGGACGGGUGAGUAACGCGUAAGAAUCUAACUUCAGGACGGGGACAACAGUGGGAAACGACUGCUAAUACCCGAUGUGCCGCAAGGUGAAACCUAAUUGGCCUGGAGAAGAGCUUGCGUCUGAUUAGCUAGUUGGUGGGGUAAAGGCCUACCAAGGCGACGAUCAGUAGCUGGUCUGAGAGGAUGAGCAGCCACACUGGGACUGAGACACGGCCCAGACUCCUACGGGAGGCAGCAGUGGGGAAUUUUCCGCAAUGGGCGAAAGCCUGACGGAGCAACGCCGCGUGAGGGAGGAAGGUCUUUGGAUUGUAAACCUCUUUUCUCAAGGAAGAAGUUCUGACGGUACUUGAGGAAUCAGCCUCGGCUAACUCCGUGCCAGCAGCCGCGGUAAUACGGGGGAGGCAAGCGUUAUCCGGAAUUAUUGGGCGUAAAGCGUCCGCAGGUGGUCAGCCAAGUCUGCUGUCAAAUCAGGUUGCUUAACGACCUAAAGGCGGUGGAAACUGGCAGACUAGAGAGCAGUAGGGGUAGCAGGAAUUCCCAGUGUAGCGGUGAAAUGCGUAGAGAUUGGGAAGAACAUCGGUGGCGAAAGCGUGCUACUGGGCUGUAUCUGACACUCAGGGACGAAAGCUAGGGGAGCGAAAGGGAUUAGAUACCCCUGUAGUCCUAGCCGUAAACGAUGGAUACUAGGCGUGGCUU
Molecule: ribosomal RNA, 700 nt
Filed under: uncultured bacterium
Lineage: Bacteria
Description: bacterial SSU rRNA
Rfam family: Bacterial small subunit ribosomal RNA
Source: RNAcentral